AGCAAACAUUUGAUUGACGAGCUU
This 24-nucleotide non-coding RNA is filed under the name Arabidopsis thaliana (thale cress). The record is from RNAcentral. Lineage: Eukaryota; Viridiplantae; Streptophyta; Magnoliopsida; Brassicales; Brassicaceae.